This 497-nucleotide ribosomal RNA is filed under the name uncultured bacterium. RNAcentral's name for it is "partial 16S ribosomal RNA". It matches the Rfam family "Bacterial small subunit ribosomal RNA", at positions 28 to 507 of the family's 1533-position model. The record is from RNAcentral.
GAUGAACGCUGGCGGCGUGCCUAAUACAUGCAAGUCGAGCGAACAGACGAGGAGCUUGCUCCUCUGACGUUAGCGGCGGACGGGUGAGUAACACGUGGAUAACCUACCUAUAAGACUGGGAUAACUUCGGGAAACCGGAUCUAAUACCGGAUCAUAUAUCGAACCGCAUGGUUCAAUAGUGAAAGACGCUUUUGCUGUCACUUUUAGAUGGAUCCGCGCCGCAUUAGCUAGUUGGUAAGGUAACGGCUUACCAAGGCAACGAUGCGUAGCCGACCUGAGAGGGUGAUCGGCCACACUGGAACUGAGACACGGUCCAGACUCCUACGGGAGGCAGCAGUAGGGAAUCUUCCGCAAUGGGCGAAAGCCUGACGGAGCAACGCCGCGUGAGUGAUGAAGGUCUUCGGAUCGUAAAACUCUGUUAUUAGGGAAGAAAAAAUGUGUAAGUAACUAUGCACGUCUUGACGGUACCUAAUCAGAAAGCCACGGCUAACUACGUG